AUUGAACGCUGGCGGCAGGCCUAACACAUGCAAGUCGAGCGGUAACACAGAGGAGCUUGCUCCUUGGGUGACGAGCGGCGGACGGGUGAGUAAUGCCUGGGGAUCUGCCCGAUAGAGGGGGAUAACUACGGGAAACUGUAGCUAAUACCGCAUAACGUCUACGGACCAAAGUGGGGGCUCUUCGGACCUCAUGCUAUCGGAUGAACCCAGGUGGGAUUAGCUAGUUGGUGAGGUAAUGGCUCACAAAGGCGACGAUCUCUAACUGGUUUGAGAGAAUGACCAGUCACACUGGAACUGAGACCCGGUCCAGACUCCUACGGGACGCAGCAGUGGGGAAUAUUGCACAAUGGGCGCAAGCCUGACGCCGCCAUGCCGCGUGUGUGAAGAAGGCCUUCGGGUUGUAAAGCACUUUCAGCGGGGAGGAAGGGUCACUAGUUAAUACCUAGUGGCAUUGACGUUACUCGCAGAAGAAGCACCGGCUAACUCCGUGCCAGCCGCCGCGGUAA
RNAcentral lists this ribosomal RNA (506 nucleotides) under uncultured bacterium. Its description in RNAcentral is "partial 16S ribosomal RNA". It matches the Rfam family "Bacterial small subunit ribosomal RNA", at positions 30 to 523 of the family's 1533-position model. The record is from RNAcentral.